AUAAAUAAAUAAAUAAAUAAAUAAAUAAAUAAAUAAAAGAAAAAAUCUUGGACUUGGACCUCUCUCAUUUGAGCCCACAGGUCCACAAAAAUCAGGUUAUAAAUUCAGAGUUUCAGUGAAACAAAAGGCAAUUCUAUUCCUAUUACCCUGUUUGGGAAAAAGAUAGUGAGAGAAGAACCCUGGGGAAAAAGAUAGUGAGAGAAGAGCUAACAGAGUUCAGAGC
This 223-nucleotide long non-coding RNA is filed under the name Lathyrus oleraceus (garden pea). RNAcentral's name for it is "Pisum sativum (pea) long non-coding RNA (PSAT_LNC020655)". The record is from RNAcentral. Lineage: Eukaryota; Viridiplantae; Streptophyta; Magnoliopsida; Fabales; Fabaceae.